RNAcentral lists this ribosomal RNA (468 nucleotides) under uncultured bacterium. RNAcentral describes it as "partial 16S ribosomal RNA". It matches the Rfam family "Bacterial small subunit ribosomal RNA", at positions 28 to 507 of the family's 1533-position model. The record is from RNAcentral.
GACGAACGCUGGCGGCGUGCUUAACACAUGCAAGUCGAACGGAAAGGCCCUGCUUUUGUGGGGUGCUCGAGUGGCGAACGGGUGAGUAACACGUGAGUAACCUGCCCUUGACUUUGGGAUAACUUCAGGAAACUGGGGCUAAUACCGGAUAGGAGCUCCUGCUGCAUGGUGGGGGUUGGAAAGUUUCGGCGGUUGGGGAUGGACUCGCGGCUUAUCAGCUUGUUGGUGGGGUAGUGGCUUACCAAGGCUUUGACGGGUAGCCGGCCUGAGAGGGUGACCGGCCACAUUGGGAAUGAGAUACGGGCCAGACUCCUACGGGAGGCAGCAGUGGGGAAUAUUGCACAAUGGGCGGAAGCCUGAUGCAGCAACGCCGCGUGCGGGAUGACGGCCUUCGGGUUGUAAACCGCUUUCGCCUGUGACGAAGCGUGAGUGACGGUAAUGGGUAAAGAAGCACCGGCUAACUACGUG